RNAcentral lists this long non-coding RNA (329 nucleotides) under Panax ginseng (ginseng). RNAcentral's name for it is "long non-coding RNA (PGIN_LNC007261)". Lineage: Eukaryota; Viridiplantae; Streptophyta; Magnoliopsida; Apiales; Araliaceae. The record is from RNAcentral.
ACCCACUACCACUCAUUAUGUUUCCUCACCCACCCACACCACCUUCUACUUUCCUACCUACCUCAUAAUUUAGCCAACCUCUCUCCUCCUCAUUUGGCUAUAAAAGGAGGCUAAGGAAGAAGGAUGAAAUACACCAAAACCAACUCUCUCUCAAGUCUCAUCCGAGAGCAAUCCAAGAGUUGGAAGAAAUAGAGAGUGAGAGAAAGAAGCUUCUGUGAAGCUUUAGAAAAUAGAGAGGGAGAAAGAUAGUUCAAAUAGAAGGGUGUUUUAUUUGGGUUCCAUCACAUAGUUAUUGUGGUGAAGUAAUUUGAGUUUGUACUCAAAUUAAG